GGGGCACGAACUACGAGAUUCGCGGCCGUCACACCCCUACCGACAUACCUAUCUGAUCUAGGUUAAGCGUGGUGCUCACGGGAAGCUCCACCUACGCCUAACCCAUCUUCUCCAUCACCGUCGUCGCUACCACACCGAUGGAGAACGGUGCGAGCUCAUCCGGCUCAGGACAAGGUAAAGUCACGGGUUUUGUACCGGAUCUAUCUAUGCCUAGUAGAUCCACAUUCUAUCAAUGGUAUCAUGAGCCACUGGGCAUAAGAUUUAUUCGGUUGAAUGAAAUCGAAAAGAAGUUUGUCCCCACCCCGACAUGAACCCUAGAUGGGCAAGGUACCGAAGAUGGCAUCGGGCCUCGUCGGCAAAGAAGCGCCGCCGCAAGGCAGCGCCUGUUCCUCUCGAUCCCCACACGCAUCGGCAAGCCGAGAUGUGGGGAAUAAGAACCUACCUCCUCGGAGGAAAAGUAUGGAUCUAGAACCAACAGGAAAACGAAGAAAAGGAUUCAGAUCGGAUCCAACACAGGAGAAAAAAAAGGACGGGAACAUGCAAAGUAAAGUAUCAGCCCUUCGGGGCAAAGGGCACCACCACCGCACCCUUGACGGUGGUGCGUUCACCAUGAAGGUGCUCGCACGCGCCGGCAAAGGAACAGCGGCGGAGCCAACAAGUCAUGUCGCUACGGAAUGAAAGGAAAAAAGGGCAUCACGGUCAACCCACUCGACGGUGAUGCGCUACCGCAAGGGAACGCGCCAUCGGCGAAAGGGGAGGCCACGGUGCUCUGUUUCUCUCUCUCUCUCUCUCUCUCUCUCUCAGAAACAAGACAAGGCGCCAGCAGGGAUAGGGCGCGGCGCGGCGCGGGACCCAUGGUCUCCGCUGUCGGCGGCCAAACCCACCUCGCAGGCCAAAAGACACGCCACCGCAGCAGGAAGGCGCGCGCGACGCGGGGCCCUCGGCCGCCACUGCCGGCGGCCACCUCCCACACCCUCUGGCGGGGCAUCUAGCCACCGCGCGCAAGAGGGAGGAGGGUAGAGAGCGACGGCGCGCUGCGCUUGGCGGGGCUCGAGGGCCGCUGCGCGAGGCAGUGGCUCGGCCACCACAGGCAGCGCACGGCGCGGGACCUUUCGGUCGCCGCUGCAGCCGGUAAGAGCCACGGCUCCGCGUUGCACAGGAAGGCCACCCGCGGGAGCGCCUCGCUCGACGAGAGGAACGAGAGAAUGAGCGGCGUUGGGGAGAAAUGUUUUAGGGUUUCCCAGACCGGCUCGGGCUGCUCCCUUUUAUUCGAUCCAAACCCCACGGGGAGCCGUUGGAUGCAAUCGGCGGCCAGGAUCCCGUGAGGCUGAAACCCUAGGCCAGGGCGGGCCUUCAGGCCGCAAGUGAGAGGCCGGCCCAGGACGCCAGGAGGGGCGCGAGCGCCUGGCCGCUAGGUCCGUUCGGCCGCUCGGGGCAGUGGGCCUCAGGCCGGCGGGAGGUGUCAAGGCGCGUGGUGGCGGGCCGAGGCCAUAGGCCGGCCCAGCCGGCCAUUUAUUUAUUUUAAAGGUUUUUUCUAUUUCUCUCUAUUAAGGCAGAUUCAAAGGUUUUUUUCUAGGGAUUUUUUCCUACGAAAACAUGAUUAGAAAAAGGAAAAGAAAAUGUUCAAAGUUUCUGUCAAUUUACACAGAAUUGUAAUAUUAUUUUUCUGAAAAGAAAAGUAAAAGGGUUUCUGGAAAUAAAAUAGUUUUUCAGAAAAAGAAAGUUCAUGAUCUUUAUAAAAGCAUUAAGAAAGUUCACGAAAUUUAUUUUAAAUGACAGAAUUAUUUUCUGUAAAGUUAAAAGGUCUAUGAAAUUUUAUUUCACGUUUUCCGCUGCUAAACGAAAUAUGAAAUAUGGUCAUGUUAUUAUUCUGACCAACGUUGUUUAGUCAUGUUAUUAUUCUGACCAACGUUUUCCGCUGCUAAACGAAAUAUGAAAUAUGAAAUUUUAUUUCACGUUUUCCGCUGCUAAACGAAAUAUGAAAUAUGGUCAUGUUAUUAUUCUGAUCAUGUUGCAUAUUGCAAAAGAUGCAUUUAUUUCUAUCAUUUGCCCAAUGGUAAUGUAGAUUAAUUUGCAUAGGCAAUUGUAUGAUUAUUUUAACCAACAUUAUUUAAUGCAUAUAAUUAUCGUACUGACUUCGCUUAUGUGGUGAUUUCAGGAGGUUUUCACCUGAUGAGUUGCCUCAAGGACGUUCUUACACUUAGAGGGGAUAAUUAUUCUGAAUGGAGGAAGAAGGUUGACAUGGCUUUGUGCAUUGUUGAGGUGGACUGGGUUCUAGAGGAACCACAGCCAGUUGCACCUGCAGAACCAGUCAGAGAUGUUGACGACGAUGAGGAGAGCUGGGAGAAAAAGCAAUGAGAUUGUGGCAAAGAGGAGAUGUCCUACUCCAUAAGUAACAUGUUAUAGAUAAAUGCCAACAAGAAAUAUUUGGCGUUUAUUAAGAACACCAUUGAGACCACCAUCGUGGGCUCGAUAGCAGAGUGCCCUACUGCAAAGGAGAUGCUUAACAAGAUAAAGAGUCAGUUUACUCGCUCUUCUAAGACCUAUGUGUAACGACUAAGAUGCGGUCCUUUUCGAUCUGGGAAUCGAGACCCCGAAUUGGAAAGAAGCGCAUCUAAGCUUUUCGCAAACAUGGUAACAUAGCACAUACAUAAAUAAUAGAGGAAUGACAAUAAGGGAUUCAAUUGCCAUCUCAUUAAUAUAUCAGAGUUACAUCAUGCAUCCAAACAAGGUAGUUCCGCUACGGACUACAAAACAAGGGAAAUGACUAUGCUACCCUGGAUGCUGGCCCACGAUCACGACCACGCCUCAAUCUUAUGGAUAGUUCACGUACAGGCGGUCGUUCUCCUCGUCGUACUGCCACGCCAGCUGCGUUCCGUCAGGAUCACCUGUCUCGGGGGUACCUGAACCUGUUGGUGUUGUGAAGGAAUCUGUGAGCCACGGGGACUCAAAAAUCUAUGACCUCGGUGCCAGAACUAGUCAAGUUAUUAGGUUGGAUAGGUGGAGUAUUUAGGUUGCAGCAUCCUAAGCUUAACAUGGUGGCUAACUUACGUAGAACUCAUAUCAAGGUGGUCUAUACUAGCGGUCGAUGGUAUCUGAUCACUAAGUGAUACUGAACACCUACCUAUGUCAAUCAUAACCCCAUCGUGUUCCCGAUCGAAGAGAGAUCUUCGAAGGGGACAGUCACGGUUACGCACACAGUUGACAAUUUUAUUAGCUGAUGUUUAAGUUAUCUAAUACCGGAUGUUAACAAAAUAUUCCAAGUUGCCACAUAACUGCGGGCACGGCUUUCCGGUAGAUUAAACCAUGCAGGGGCCACGGACAUCGCUCAGGUGGGACGAACACCCAUGAGGAGCACUGGCCCGGGUUGUUGAUUAAAUUCCUCGGGGUAGCUAUUCCCUAUGCAGAUUAUUAUUAAGUGAUUAGCAGAUUAAAACCAAUGUUGGGUCCUGCCGGACAAGUCUUAACACUAUGCGAUUUAUCGAGGGGGUCCCCAUAACAACCCCGAACGUGUUAGGAGCGAUCAUUAUGGAAUCAAACAUCGGUAGCCGGUAACUAUGGUGGCAAUAACGGAACAAAGCACCCGGCAAAAGGCUAGGCCUUCCGUUAUUUACCAAGUAUAUAGGUGCAUUAAUUAAAUAACAGAAUUAACAUAAUGAUAUCAAACUCAUGUUAUCACAUGAGACAAGCACCUGCAUCUAGCAACGCUAACAUUAGUAGUUGAGCAAGCCUACUUAGCCAUUCAAGAUUUGCUAGGAAGGGAUAAGUGUUUGGGUUUCAUGGCAAUUCAGGAGGCAAUAUUUCAGUGGUAGGCAGCUAGCAUAUGAUGGAAGAAACGUAAACUAGCAUAACAAGUCUAGAUAUGGAAUAAAGGUCAUAUCAUCUUGCCUGUGAUAUCCUCAGCUUGGAACAGUUCUUGAUCGUCAUGCACGUACUCUCCCGAAUCCACGUACUCGUUCUCUGGUCCCGGUGCUACCCAACAUAAUAAUAACAUCCAAUGAACAACAGCACCUCAAGAUGCAACACGCACAUGAUGCAUGAGAUGAAUAUGAGCAUGCAUCACUAUUUCUAUCACUAGCACAAGCAUGAGAAGUAAAUACAUGUUCCUGGACAGAACUGCAUCCUAAUUUAUCUUGACAUGCAUGAUAAUGACAUGAUCAUAUGUGUCUCAUGAAAACGAUGCAAAACCAUAUAAAGAACAUUACAAACGGAGCUACGGAUCAAGGGGAAACAACGAAACAAGAUAUGAAGCCCUACGUGUCAAAUUCAUCACCACACACUCCAAUGGCUCAACUCUGGUAUUUCCAGGUAGCCAAGACAUAAAACAAACCAACAUGGAUGGGGUGGAGCAAAGAAGAACACCACAUCAUCAACUAUGCGCUCACAAUCAUCAAAACAUCAAAACUACACAAUCUGCCAUAAAUUGCAUCAUAGCACUUUGGGGGCUACAUGCAAAGCACCUACAGACACCUAAACAUGCCAAAUAAGAUAUGUGGUUGUAGCUAUACAACAGUACUACAAGCACAAGCAAGAAUAUCACACAAAGGGGUUAAACACAGAAAGUUACACAACUGUAAACUUGCCCAAAAAUAUCAAAUUUCAGGGACUUAGUGAAAAUUCCAGAUUCUCACUAUCUGUUUAUGCUCUGAAGCAUUUUGACAGCAGCCAAAACAAUAUCUACAGGACUCCAAAUCGAAUGAACAUUUACAGGGAGCUAGACAAACAUAUAAGCUUCAACUUUCCAGUUGAAAGAUAAGGCUGAAACACAACACAUUGACCUGCACAACCUCAUCAAUAGGAGAAGAAAAUAUAAACAGAUUCUCAGACUUAGUGAAAAUCUCAGAUUUUCACUAAUUUGGAAUUUCAGCCACAUGUCUAUUUUGUUUGGGCACAACUUGCACACAUGACUUCCUAAGCAUGAAACAAAAGCAACAAGUGGUAGAGGGGGUCACCCUCUAGUGCCACAACAAGGAGUCAACCUAUUGUGCACACCUCAACAUCAUGAGACCAAGCUCCAAACAUAGAACAAAUCUGAAAUAUGUCAUUUCCAGGAAGUGUUCCAAUGGCAAAACUGAUCUCACCAAUGGAUUCCUGGGAUGAUUCUACCCCAAAACCAUAUAUAAAACAUAUGCACUUGCUUGGAACAAGUGGGCACAAACUAGGAAAGAAAAACUACAUAGAAUCCUAUAUAGUGAAUAGUGUUGCAUCACAUGUGCAAAAAUCACUAGAGAAAACCUACACAAGCUCUUGCACAUGAUCACAACAUCAAUGGGGGUACAUGAGGGGUAGACCUCAUGCCUUUGUGCCUAGGCACAUCACCACACCAUCACAAGCAACAAGCACAACCUAAUAAUAUCACCUACACAUGAAAUCUUGUACAUAUGCCCAUCAAGGCCUAGCUUGCCAUGAUGUGUGUGUGGAUAUACUCACAUGAGCACCCACACACGCACAUAGGACUUAGCAAAACUAUAUAUACAUGCUCUCAAACAACAAUGCACUCACACAUGAAAUACUACAAACUCUCCUACACAUGAUAUAGCUACCUAUGCACCCUAGUGCAACACACACACAUGCACAAGACUUGAGCCACAUGCAUAUGCUUGCAAGCAACCUACACCAACAUAUAUACAAGGUGUGUGGAAGGGAAAAAGCCUUCACACACACACACAACCUACACUAUGCCUUCUACCAAGUAUCCUUACACACACACACAAGUGCAACAACAUGGGUUCACAAAGCUAGCAACACACAUAACACCCAUGCUGGUUUUGAGAGGAGGUAAAUAAAACCCUCAUGUGCAAAAUCACUACAAAGCUACACCUACACAUGCCAAGGUGAACAGCACCAGGAAAACAAAGCACGGGAAAAAAAAUAAAAGGUGGGGGAAGGAGGGAUCGAACCCUGUACCCCUCUGGCACUGCCCACAGGUGCAAACCACCCUGCUAGUGCCUUUGUGCUCGACAGAACAGAGCAGCCUAGCAAGUUAAGUUACUCUGCUGAGCUAUACUACUGUGCCGAGGAAAUAAAUCAAAAAGGGUGCCGAGGGGGGAUCGAACCCGCAACCUCCAACAGGCAACAACAGCACACAACCACUACGCUACGCAACGACGUCUGACAGAGAAGGGAUAUCUGCUCUUUUGAGCAUACCCUUCGGGAUCCACUGCUGAUCCACGGCGACCGGAACAGGGGAGCUACCUCGAAGGCGACACGAGCAAAAUCUAGCACCCGCUCGUUGAUGGAAGGACGCCCAUGCAUCCACGGUUCCGUUUCCCUUGUUAGAUCUACUCGAGAAGAACCACAGCCACACCUCUACGAUGCGCGGCGGCGCCGGCGACACGAAGCAGCACGGUGGCGAUUCUACAGCUCCUACACAUGAUCUAAGACAGGGAAGGGGCAAGAGGAGGAUCUGCUCACCCAACGGAAGAAGACAAUGGUCCUGAUCGGAGAGGUAGCAGGGGAAGUAGAGGAGGAAGCCGCGCCGGAGAGGUUCAUUGGAGCGGAAGGGACGUCGUCGAUGUAGGGGAAGAAGGGGUGCUGCCGUCGUCCUAGCUGCGGGAAUGGAUCCCUACGAGAUCCCGCGAGCUCGUCGUCGCCUUGGAGAGGAAGCAGAGCCACAACAUCAACGGCGGCGAGCUCCUUCACGAGUCGGCCAUGGCGGAUGCGCCCUCCUCUUACCUAAGGCCAUCGACAGAGAAGAGAGGGAGAUGGGAAGAAGUGGCUGCGGAGGAAGAGGAACCCUAGCCUUGGCACGGGCGCCAAGGGGGGAUUAAAUAGGGGAAGGAGAGGAGAGGGACGCGGCGCGGCCAUGUGCGUGAGGGGGAGCUUCGGUGGAAAGCAGAGAGGAGCGAGGUGAGUCGCUGACAGUGGGCCCUCGUGCCGAGCUAGAAAGAAGGAAGAAGAGGAACGCUCUGCGGGCUCCUGCGCGAGAGAGAGGAGACAGAUCGGCCAGCCAUGUGAGAGUAAGCCCAUAGUUGGCGCAGGAUAGAGGAAAUAACCCUAUGAGGGUUUUCCAUUAACAGAAAAGGCAGAGAAUAAAAGAAAAGCACAAAGAAAUCUAUAAGUGCUAAAAAUAAAACUAGCACAUACCUGGACAUGAUAAAUCAAGACCUAUUUAAUAAAAAUAGAAACAAGAGUUUAGGAGCAAGUAAAUAUUUUACAAAACAGAAUAAUAGGAUCUGUUUUGUAAUCCCUUGCACCAUCUACAACACCUUUUCAAAUCAACAAAUCACACUUCCAAUCACCACAAAACAAGGCUAGCACUUGGGCAUUUUUAAAUCAGGGUAGGCAAGUGAAUAUUGAGCUUGGAACAAAAGGGAGAGGGAAGGGGUUUUAAAACCUAAGCAAAUCACAAGGUAGAUUCUACUAACACAUGCAUACUCCACACAAUCUUCACAUCUCACAUCACCACAUAAGAUCACAAGCAUCACAUGAGAUCACAUGACUCAAAGCUACAACACCUGACACAUGAAAUGAUAUGAUAUGGCAUGCAUGCAUGCAAGGAAGAAUAACAAGUGACACCACAUGAAAUCAUAGCAUAGAUAGCUCUCAUGUCCAUGACAAAGUGGACCCACAUAAGAAGGUUCCAAAAGGGGAAGGUUACACACUUGGGGCAUUACACUAUGCCACCCAGUUGAUCAAACAACUGGUGACAGAGAGCUACAAUGGAGGUGGCCAUGGCAUAAGGGAGCACAUCCUUAGGAUGAGCAACACGGCAGCCAAGCUUAAGCCCAUGGAUGCGGAUCUGGAGAUUAAGCCAGCUCUUCUCGUCCAUCUGGUCAUGGAUUCACUGUCUAAGGAGUUCGAGACCUUUGUAGUUAACUACAACAUGCAGCACGAGACAUGGGAUAUUGAAAAGGUCAUCGCAGUGUGCUCACAAGAAGAGGAGAGGAUUAAGGUUUCACAUGGUGGCUUCCUUAACUAUGUGAAGGAAAAGAAAAAGGUUUUCCCACCUAAGCAGAAUUCUCCCUCAAGGCCACAGGGCAAGCUCCAAGGCAAGGCUCCCGCUUAUUAUUAGCCAAAGCCAAUCACAGUAGAUGAAGACACUUGUAUCUAGUGCAAGGAGAAAGGGAACUACAAGAAGGAUUGUGUUGUCUGGCUAAAGGUCUUCAUGGCAAAGAGAGGUAACUAUAUUGUUUCCUUAGUAAAUGAAUCUUUGUAUGUAAAGUUUUCAAAAUACAUUUGGUGGAUUGACUCAGGUGCAACUGUUUAUGUUGCAAACUCUUUACAAGGGUUCAGUUCGACGAGGACCAUGUGCCAAAAUGAAAGAAGUAUUGAAGUCGCAAAUGGUGUCCAAGCAGAAGUUGAAGCUGUAGGUGACGUCUCCUUGGAGCUAACCGAAGGAUUCAUGCUUUUGCUUAGAGAUGUUAUUUUUGUGCCUUCAUGUAAUAGGAAUUUAAUAAGUGUGUCAUGCUUAGACAAAGACAAUUAUCAAUGUGUGUUUGGACAUGGUAAAUGUACUGUUUGGUACAAUAAUGAUUAUGUAGGCAAUCCCUUUCUUCAUGAUGAGCUUUAUUUGUUAUCAAUUCGUGACAAAGUGAAUUAUGCAAAUACUGUGAAUGUGCAAAGUUCUUCAUCGAACAACGAGCAAAAGAAAAGAAAGAGAACUCACGACUCCUCGAGACUAUGGCACUGUCGAUUGGGCCAUAUUUCCAGGGGGGAAUAGAAAGAUUAAUCAAAAGCGAAAUUCUUCCAAAGUUGGAGUUCUCUGACUUAGAACAAUGCGUAGAUUGCAUUAAAGGAAAAUAUGUAAAACAGAUAAAGAAAGGUGCAAAUCGAAGCACAGGAACACUAGAGAUAAUCCACACUGAUAUUUGUGGACCGUUUCCGGUGAAAAGUGUGGAUGGUUAUGAUUCAUUCAUAACAUUCACAGGCGAUUACUCCCGCUUCGGUUACAUUUAUCCAAUCAAAGAAAGAAAUGAGGCAUUGGAUAAAUUCAAGAUAUUCAAAGCUGAAGUUGAAAAUCAGCUUGACAAAAAGAUUAAGAUUGCGAGGUUCGACCAUGAGGGGGGAGUACUACGGUCGACACACACCAUAUGGCCAAGUCCCUGGACCUUUUGCAAAGUUCUUGCAGGAGACUGGCAUUGUCGCCCAUUAUUCAAUGCUGGGCGAGCCUCAGCAAAAUGGAGUAGCUGAAAGGCGCAACCGUACCCUCAUGGAUAUGGUGCGCAACAUGAUGAGCUACUCCGACAUGCCAUUGGGAUUGUGGAUGGAGGCGCUUAAAACUGCCAUUCACAUUCUCAACAGAGUACCAAGCAAGUCGGUGCCCAAAACACCGCACAAGCUAUGGACAGGAAGAGUGCCAUCCCUGCAACACUUCAGAGUGUGGGGAUGUCCAGCUCAGGCCAAAAUGUUUAAUCCAAACAUUGGAAAGUUAGAUCCAAAGACAGUGAGUUGCCAUUUCAUUGGCUACCCUGAUAGAUCAAAAGGUUUUUGUUUCUACUGUCCUGACAGAUACACAAAGUUUGUGGAAACGAGACAUGUUGUCUUCUUAGAGGACGAAAUGAUGAGGGGGAGCAUGGUAGCUCGGAAAAUUGAUCUUGGGGAGAAAAGGGUGCAUGCACCCAUUCCGAUGAUUCAAGAGCCAUUUUUCUUGCUACCCGCUGUAACUCCAACGAUGACAACUAUGGGAGAAGACCCGGAACCUGUCCUUCAGGAGCCGACUGAACCCGUUGUUGAUCAUGAAAUGGAAGUGCAACAAGAAAAAGUAGAAAGUGUGCCAGACAACGAGGCACUUAGAAGGUCUAAUAGAACAAGAAGACCUGCUAUUUCUACUGAUUAUAAAGUCUAUAACAUGGAAAUGGUUCAUAUGGAUGGUGAUCCCACCACAUACGAAGAAGCCAUUAAAAUCCCUCACUCAUCAAAAUGGCUAGAGGCAAUGGAAGAUGAGAUGAAAUCGAUGAGUUCCAAUAAUGUUUGGGACUUAGAGAUUAUUCCUAAAGGAGCAAAGACAAUAGGUUGCAAAUGGGUCUACAAAACAAAGUAUGACUCUAAUGGGAAUGUAGAUAAGUAUAAAGCCGGACUUGUGGCAAAAGGAUUCACGCAAAGAGAAGGGAUGUACUACAAUGAGACUUUUUCUCCAGUCUCUUGUAAGAAUUCCUUCAGAAUCAUAAUGGCACUUGUUGCUCAUUUUGAUUCAGAGCUGCAUCAAAUGGAUGUAAAGACGACAUUUCUAAACAGAGAUUUAGAAGAAGAUGUCUACAUGAAACAACCCAAGGGUUUUAUCAUGGAAGGCAAGGAAAAUAUGGGAUGUCGCCUAAAGAAAUCCAUUUAUGGGCUAAGGCAAGCCUCUAGACAGUGGUACAUAAAUUUUAAUGAUACUAUUAAAAGGUUUGGAUUUCAAGAAAACGUUGAGGAUAAUUGCAUUUAUGCAAAGUUUAAAGAUGGGAAAUAUAUUUUCCUAAUCUUGUAUGUGGAUGAUAUCUUGCUUGCAAGCAAUGGUAUUAGUCUACUACAAGAGACAAAGAAGUUUUUAUCCUCGAACUUCGACAUGAAAGACCUUGGUGAUGCAUCAUAUGUUUUGGGCAUUGAAAUUCACUGAGACAGGAAAAAUGGAGUGUUAAGACUUUCACAGAAAGCAUAUGUAGAGAAAGUUCUCCAAAAGUAUAAUAUGCACAAGUGUAAAGCCACGCCUGCUCCAAUAGUCAAGGGCGAUAGUUUUGGGAAUCAUCAAUGUCCCAAGAAUAAGUACGAGCUCGAAGAAAUGAAAACAAUACCGUAUACUUCGGCUGUUGGAAGUUUACAGUAUGCAAAAGUGUGCACACGCCCUGACUUGGCAUUUAUCACCGAGGUACUCGAUAGAUAUCAAGCAAAUCCAGGCCAAGAGCACUAGAAGAUGGCAAAGAAAGCUCUGCGUUAUGUGCAAGGCACAAAAGAGAUCAUGCUAACAUACAGGAGAUCUGAGUCCCUAGAGAUAAAAGGGUACCCAGACGCAAAUUUUGCGGGAGAUAAAGAUGAUAGAAAAUCCACGUCUGGGUACGUGUUCACUCUCGCAGGGGGAGCUAUUUCAUGGAAAAGCUCCAAACAGACCAUAGUUGCAUCGUCCACGAUGCAAGCAGAGUUCAUAGCAUCACUACAGGAAUCGGGCAUUUUGCCGUCAGGACGCUAAAGACAACAAAGAGAGAAUUACAGACGGCAAAUUUUUUGCCGUCAGCCCAUGACAGCAAAAAAUGUCGUCAGACCAUGUGCCCGCAAAGGGUAAUUUUGCCGUCAGCAUUUUUUUGGGCAGACGGCAAAAAAUUUGCCGUCAGUGAAAAUGGUUUGCCGUCAUCUAUUAUGAGGCAUACGGCAAAAAACCUAACAGAACGACCCGGACGGCGUUAACUCUUUGCCGUCAUCCGACCGGAAUGCAAGACGGCAAAGAUUACGGGUUUGCCGUCAGUUGUUAUGAAUACCAGACGACAAAUAAAUUUUCUUUUAAAAAAAAUAUAAACAACAAUCAGGUGCAGAUCUGGUCAAAGGCAUAGAUAGAAUCUUUAGGAGCGGAUUUUAUAAAAACAUAUAUAGUCCAUCGUCACUCAAUGAACCAAAAUGGCACAAAAGGGCAUGGAAACAACAUCAGCCAAAAAGUUGAUAUAAAUUUACACAAAGGACCCUGACAUUAGCACAACUCCUAAAGAAGUCCUCGCGUAUUACAUAAAGCACCCUGGAACUAAAGAUAAAAAAGCAAUCAAGUCCCUUGGCUUCUUUUCCACUGCAUGCACGCGGCACAUCUCGAACAAGGCCAGCAGGCGGCGGGUGCGUGGCCACCAGGCGGCGUGUGCAGGGCCAGCAGGCGGAGAGUAGCUCCUCGGGCACCCCAUCCGACUCCCGCAGUCGCGCCGCACGGAUCUCACCGGAUCUGGGGCCGGCCACCCCGAGGCCGAGCUGAUGGAGGCGCUGGAGAGGCGAACUGCGAUGGCGUCGGGGAGCUGCUGAGGUCGCCGGAUCUAGAGGGAGGGUGGUGGUGGACGCGGCCGAGGCCGGCCACCCCGAGGCCGAGCUGAUGGAGGCGCUGGAGAGGCGAGCUGCGAUGGCGUCGGGGAGCUGCUGAGGUCGCCGGAUCUAGAGGGAGGGUGGUGGUGGACGCGGCCGAGGCCGGCCACCCCGAGGCCGAGCUGAUGGAGGCGCUGGAGAGGCGAACUGCGAUGGCGUCGGGGAGCUGCUGAGGUCGCCGGAUCUAGAGGGAGGGUGGUGGUGGACGCGGCCGAGGCCGGCCACCCCGAGGCCGAGCUGAUGGAGGCGCUGGAGAGGCGAGCUGCGGUGGCGUCGGGGAGCUGCUGAGGUCGCCGGAUCCAGAGGGUGGGUGGUGGUGGGCNNNAAAAUCCACCACUCAAGUAGGGUGGCUGCUGGUGGGGGAGAUAAGAGAUGGAGACGUGGGGUGGUGGGAUGUGCGUCGGUGGGGUGGGGACUAAGGGUGUGGUAGAUGACGAUGUGUGGUGCGGAUACUGCCACGUCAUCGAUCCACGUGAUCGAUCCGUGUGUGUUGUGCUUCUUAUUUUGCCGUCAUCUAGGUAUUUUACAGACGGCAAAAUUAAUUUGCCGUCAUCUAGGUAUUUUUACAGACGGCAAAAUUAUUUUGCCGUCAUCUAGGUAUUUUUACAGACGGCAAAAUUAUUUUGCCGUCAUCCAGUUAUUUUUACAAACGGCAAAAUACGUCUUUGCCGUCAUCCAGUUAUUUUUACAGACGGCAAAAUAUUUGUUCACCCACGUCCGUGCGUGGUGGGAUGGGGUAGGCUGGUGUGUCUCAGAUCUUGCCACGUCAUCGAUCCGCAUGAUCGAUCCGUGUGUUGUGCUUCUUCUUUGCCGUCAUCACUUUCUAUUACAGACGGCAAAUUAUGUCUUUGCCGUCAUCCGCUUAUUUUUACAGACCGCAAAAUAAUUUUGCCGUCUGUAAUUUUUAUUAUAGACGGCAAAAUGUGUUUACGCCGACAGUCAUUCUUUGCCGUCAUCAGCUGACGGCAACAGACGGCAAAUUAUGUCUUUGCCGUCAUCCACGAAGAAAAGCUGACGGCAAAGAUCUUAAUAGACGGCAAAUAACCUGAUUUCCGUAGUGCAUGCUUUGAAGCCACCGGGCAGGUGAUAUGGUUAAAGAAGUUUAUACCCGACUUGAAAGUGGUAGGUUGUAUUCACAAGCCACUAAAGAUAUACUGUGACAACCAGCCCGCAGUAUUCUAUGCUCACAACAACAAGUCUAGGAAUGCUUCCAAGACAAUAGAUAUAAAGUAUUACAUUGUGAAAGAUAAAAUCCAGGAUCAAACUAUAAGUCUCGAGCAUAUAAGUACGAAGUAUAUGCUUGCGGAUCCGCUAACGAAAGGCUUACAACCCAGCGUGUUCAAGGAACACUUAGCCGGCAUGGGUUUGAUGGAAAGCCUAUGAUUCCUGGAUUAUAAGAGGCCCAAAAGUAAAUGAAUUUGUUUCAGAACAAAAGUGUGUUGUAGCUGUAUGAUUCUAUCGGCAGUUAAGCUGUGACGAUGAGACAUGCUCAACAUGCUUACAUGUGAUGGAACAAAUGAAAAGUAUAAAGUCAAAAGUAAAAGUCGAGAUCAAGGGGGAGAAUAUUAGGUUGAUCUAUCACCGCGUGGGCCCAAUGGCCCACCGGGCCUUGAUCUAUGCACCCUGAUCGGGGGCGUCCAACCCAUUAUGGUUGGUGGGCCCCUGUGACCCGCGCUAUAUAAAGGACGAUGGGGUGCCGGGGCACGAACUACGAGAUUCAUCGCCAUCACAUCCCUACCGACAUACCUAUCCGAUCUAGGUUAAGCGCGGUGCUCACGGGAAGCUCCACCUACGCCUAACCCUUCUUCUCCAUCACCGCCGUCGCUACCACACCGAUGGAGAACGGUGCGAGCUCAUCCGGCUCAGGACAAGGUAAAGUCAUGGUUUUGUACCGGAUCUACCUAUGCCU
This 13879-nucleotide long non-coding RNA is filed under the name Hordeum vulgare. RNAcentral describes it as "long non-coding RNA (HVUL_LNC011744)". The record is from RNAcentral. Lineage: Eukaryota; Viridiplantae; Streptophyta; Magnoliopsida; Poales; Poaceae.